UAUACUUUAAAAAUAAAAAAAAAAAUAAAAAAAGUUAAAAGGAAGACAACUGGUAGAGAUAUCCCCUGGAUAACAUAGCAUUUGUAUCAGACAGAUUUCCACAAUUUUAUUUUGUCAGUAAUCUGUGUUAUAAGUGGGAAGACAAAACAGAUAAACUAAAUAUUUUAUUUCAAAAAUAUCAAAGGUUAAGGUGUUCAAAAGUGUGAGUCAGUGGGAAUUUCAGAUACUCAACAUUAACACAUUUCAUUAAUUAAUAUUGAACGAGGGAUUAUUUUUAACCAUUUCGUAGGUUUGUCUGUUCCUGACCUUUCAUGAGAACUUUUAAGUUACCUGUAAUGUUCUGUAAACCUUAUGUAUAUUAUCACUCAAGAACUGAAUUUUAUUCAGGUCUAUAAUAGAAAAGUCUAUAUAACCUAUUUUCUGACAAAUUUCCAAACUUUGUUAUGCCUAUUUUACAGUUAGGAUUCAAAUUCCAAGUACACACGAAUUGUUAUCAAUUUUAAAUUUUCAGGUGUCUGUACAAGCUUCUUACAAAUAAGGUUUAUUCUCCUGCUAAACUCUUGGAGAAAAUUUCAUAGCAUAUGUAGUUAUGCUAACACAAAGAAAGAUAGUAACAGGUAGAUACAUCUAUGUGUAUGUAGAUACAUAAAAUUAUGAGUGAAUUUCCUUAAUGUGAAGUGAAUAUAGAAUAACCCUUUUUUUUUUUUUUUUCUUUUUCAUUUUUUUUUUUUUUUUUUUUUUUUUUUUUUUUUUUUUUUUUUUUUUUUUUAAAAUGGAUGUGGACAAAUAUCAGCAAAUAUGAUUGGAUGCAACAGUGCCAUCAACAGUCAACCAACUGCUACACAGGAAUUCUGUCUGGGGGAGAGCAAGGAGAGAAGAUAGAAAGGUUCUGAACAGUACAGCUGUCACUGCUGUCAGUAUUACUUGAGCUGCCACUGUGAUAACCUGAACUCCCAACACCACUGCAUGAUUCACUAUGCUGUUUGAUCCUUGGAAACCCUGAUGAUGUUCAGUGACUUCAAAGCUUCUACUGUAGUUGCAUAUGUGAAAAGUUAUCAUCUAGUGUAACUAACACAAGGGUAGUGAAAGUCAUUAACCCUUUUGUGGCAGAUGAAAUUCCAACUUUG
RNAcentral lists this long non-coding RNA (1127 nucleotides) under Coturnix japonica (Japanese quail). RNAcentral's name for it is "lncRNA (ENSCJPG00005017572.1)". Lineage: Eukaryota; Metazoa; Chordata; Aves; Galliformes; Phasianidae. The record is from RNAcentral.